AACCAAGUCAACCCAAGAGGCCAUGCUUCCCUCCGAUCGAGUAAGCUCGCCCUACCCUCCUAACGUUUCGAUGCUUGGUUCACUGUUUGAUGAUCUUGCGUUAGUUUUAGCUUUACUUGAGGGAGAUUCAAUGAAGGGUUCUUGAGUUGACGAUUCUUGAAAUGAGAGAUAUGGUGAAAGCCCGCCAUACAUCGAUAAGCUUUUGCCUCAUGACCGUUCUAAAUCGCUUUCGUUCAGUUCUUUGUUGGUGGGUUUGUGCUGUUGCUCAGAUGCGAAGUACUAAAGACCUCGAAUGUCGUCGUCUCGAAUCUGUUUGGUGAUUUCGCAUUGGCCACUCGCUGUACUUCCUCCUUAUUCGAGCUGAAUUCUGCUAGAAUCAUUUAUCUAGCAAGUGAGCUGUUAUCGUUACCAGGUUACUUUGCCAUCCUGUUGUCUAGAAUAUCCUAUCUCGCUUGUAAUUUUGUGCUGAUGUUCAUGCAGUUGAGCAUGGAAUGGGUCUGAAAUGAAUCCUGUGCCGAGUUGCUGUUUGACUUGCUGUUUGACAAAGGAGGAUCUGCGGAAUAUGUUUAGAGAAGAGCUGGAGCGUGCUAAGUCUGACUGGGCCAAAUAUUUUCAAAGUUUCUUCAGGAAUGCUGUUAAAGAAAUAGUGCAAGAGAUGCAAUCAAUGGAGAAUGCUUCUAAGAAACUGAUCUAGGACAUGAGAGGAGCUGUAAAACUUGUUCUGAUAAUCUGCUUUGAGAAAGCACACUAAAAGAAAAAGUGCAAUUUUAGAUUCUUCAUAUUGUCUGCAUAGCACAGAGGUGCUAUUGAUAUCACACCAAGUUUUCAUGGUGCUGUAUUCAACACCAAUGGUCAACUGGUCGGCCUAAUCAAAGACAGAGUAUCUUUUGCUACUCAUCGACUUUCUGCCCAAGAGAAGGAACAUGGAGAUGCAAUCGUGAUGAAGGCCUUGGCUAACUGGAAUGAUGUGAGAGAGUUCAAUGGUGAGACAUUUUCUGAUUCAAUGCAGAAGAAUAGCUCAAGCUCAUAUUCAUCUUCAGUCUUAGGUGGACAAACUGAAAAUCGCAACCAUGUUCAACGUUAUUUGGCUCCACCAAUUGUUGCUGCUCCAGUUGGUCCGGAAGCUCCUCUGGCAAAUGCGGGCUCCGCUGCUGAAGGUACGUGCCAGAGAACACAAAACUGUCUCUCCCUUUAAGCAUAUACAAAGAUGUGGCCUGUGAAAUUACGAUGAAAAUGGGACUUUCCACUUGAUUUUUAAGCUUGAAUAUAUAAAAGCAUUGUGUACCUGAUCCUUAUGAUUCUGGGCUCCAAAUCAUAUAAAGACGUUUGUUUGUCCAGCUGUGAUUAUUGUGACAUGAGCCUCAUUAAAUGCAAUCUAUCCAUUUUGGCCAAUAUAUGUACAUAUGUAUGUAUGCAUGUAUGUGUUCUGUCCAAGCUAUUCAAAAGCAACUAAAAAAUUAGUUGGU
This is an RNA transcript of Eucalyptus grandis, 1466 nucleotides long. RefSeq lists it as uncharacterized. NCBI's taxonomy places the organism in Eukaryota, Viridiplantae, Streptophyta, Magnoliopsida, Myrtales, Myrtaceae. The record is from RefSeq and is a predicted model, not a curated record. The transcript is spliced from 5 exons.